UACGUAGGGGGCAAGCGUUGUCCGGAAUUAUUGGGCGUAAAGCGCGCGCAGGCGGCCUUUUAAGUCUGAUGUGAAAUCUUGCGGCUCAACCGCAAGCGGCCAUUGGAAACUGGGAGGCUUGAGUACAGAAGAGGAGAGUGGAAUUCCACGUGUAGCGGUGAAAUGCGUAGAUAUGUGGAGGAACACCAGUGGCGAAGGCGACUCUCUGGUCUGUAACUGACGCUGAGGCGCGAAAGCGUGGGGAGCAAACAGG
Molecule: ribosomal RNA, 253 nt
Filed under: uncultured bacterium
Lineage: Bacteria
Description: partial 16S ribosomal RNA
Rfam family: Bacterial small subunit ribosomal RNA
Source: RNAcentral